Molecule: long non-coding RNA, 1661 nt
Organism: Gadus macrocephalus (Pacific cod)
Lineage: Eukaryota; Metazoa; Chordata; Actinopteri; Gadiformes; Gadidae
Exons: 4
Source: RefSeq, a predicted model, not a curated record
GGGAGGAGUUUAGUGACAGGUGUGUCCCUUUCUUUCGCAGCCACAGAAACCAAGAGCAUACCUGUGAAGAGAGAGAGAGAGGCAGAGAGAGGGAAAGAUAGAUUGGAGAGAUAGAAAAGGAAACCGAAUAAAGAUGUUAUGAACGUGUUAUUGAAAAGAGCAACAUUUCGAGAGAAAUAAGUGAAAACAGAAAAAAUAAGGAAGAUCCACGGAUUGUUUUCUCUCGCUCGACCGGAAAGAAGAGGACUUGCACCACCGGAGGAAACUAGAGGACAACAGAACGAGGGAAUUCCGGUAGUUUAGUAGGAAUAUCUCUGGCGGUUUCGGGCCAGAGGUGACGUCACCACGUCAACGCCAGGAAACACAGUUUCCUCAACUGUAAACUUUGGAGGGUGUGACUUUUCGGCCUUUAAACAAAGCCAUCAAAAUGUCAGGCAUCAGCGUUUCAUUGGACAACCCCUAUGGAGAUGUGACCAUUCCACGAGCCAAGCUCCGUGGUGACCAGAGCCUGGUGAUUGGGAACCCUGUGGCACUGGGCAACCCCUAUGCUAAGACAGAGGGUGGUGAGGCACAAGCCCCGCCCCCUUACAAUGUCAAGUUGGCGGAGCCAGAAGAGGAGAUGCGUUGCCGUGCCUGUUGCUACCGUUGUCGCCGUCGGAAACAGUGAUGGAGAGAGUGGAGGAGCUUUGGACAGAAGAGGAGUAGAGAUGGAGAUGGAGAGGGAAGGAGGAGAGGAGGAGAGGGAUGAUGCAUAGAGCUGACUUGACCAAUCAAGGCAGCUCCCGUUAGGGAGGUGGGGCUUCUGGUAUAUUUAAAAUCUGGGAGAAAUGUAAAGCUUUGAUGUUUUCUGACUUUCCUCUAUCUUUGUCACAGUUAAAACUGGUCUUACUGAGCUGAAACAUAGAAGUGUUUAUUUCAGUUUGGUUUCAUACAUCUUGUUCACAUAAUUUUUCCAUUUGUAUUUAAAUGUUGAACAUAUUAACUGACAUGUACAUGUAGCUCGAUUUCUACAUGUAUGUGUUAUAUUUGUCUGCUUAUUGAUGUAAAAGGUAUGAUGUAUGAUGGUAAAAUGUAAGAAUAUUAUAGAUCAGUCAUUGUGUCUUAGCCAAUCAGCCAUGCCCCCAUCCUCCUUAACCAAUGAGAAUAAUCAACCAAACAUGCCAUGAUAAGGCCCAUUCAAAAUAGGUCUUUGCCAAAUAUGAAUUAUAAUAAUAUGAAUUAUUAUAUGUAAUAUUAGUACUCUAUGAAUAUACAUGCUGUUACAUGUGUGCCAAUGCAUCUAUUCAUGGAGCAGACCAUAAAUUGUAUUACAUUUGCAUUUAUACGGUUAAAGCACCUAUGAUCAAAUAUUGUCGUGUUUAAAGUGUGCAAUAUUCACCUUUUGUUAUGUGAAGGACUUAUUUAUGUAUGGUUGUGCCAACAUAGAACGUUAUUUUAUAUAUUUGAAUAGCAUUUUACUUUUAUCAAAUUGCUACCUGAAUUCAUAUUUAUGUAGGCCUGUAGUGAAACCUAAAAAAGCUUAUUCUAUGAGAAUGUAGUAAUGUGAGUAUUUUAAGGAAUGCAAACGUUCUACAUUUUUACAUUUGUCCUGCUAUUGCUGUUUUCCUCUUUUUUUUUUCGAUCUUCUUUAAUGUAAAAAUAAAGCAGAAUAGCAAAAAAUG